This 497-nucleotide ribosomal RNA is filed under the name uncultured bacterium. Its description in RNAcentral is "partial 16S ribosomal RNA". It matches the Rfam family "Bacterial small subunit ribosomal RNA", at positions 28 to 507 of the family's 1533-position model. The record is from RNAcentral.
GAUGAACGCUGGCGGCGUGCCUAAUACAUGCAAGUCGAGCGAACGGACGAGAAGCUUGCUUCUCUGAUGUUAGCGGCGGACGGGUGAGUAACACGUGUAUAACCUCCCUAUAAGACUGGGAUAACUUCGGGAAACCGGAUCUUAUACCGUAUGAGAUUUUGCACCGCAUGGUUCAAAAGUGAAAGACGGUCUUGCUGUCACUUCUAGAUGGAUCCCGGCUGCAUUAGCUAGUUGUUACGGUAACGGGUUACCAAGGCAACGAUGCAUAGCCGACCUCAUAGGCUGAUAGGCGACCUGGGAACUUGGACACGGUCCUGACUCCUGCGGGAGGCAGCAGUAGGGAAUCGGACGCAAUGGUGGAAAGCCUGACGGAGCAACGCCGCGUGAGUGGUGGAUGUGUUCGGAGCGUGAAACUCUGUUACGAGUGAAGAACCGAUGUGUACGGAAAUGUGCAGAGCGUGACGGUAACUAAUCAGAAAGCCACGGCUAACUACGUG